UUCUGUGAAACAGACUAUUAAAAAGGAAUGAAUGGAGUAUAUGAGAUUCAAUCCUUCCAUUAUUUGUGAUUCAUUCUCUUUCGUUCGUUUUCCAUUAAUUCCAUCUUUUCCUUCACAUUUCAUAGUCGCUCCAAAUUCCCAUUCUACCAAUUUCUAAAUUUCUUAAAUCAGUAACGGUUCUAGGUUUGCCUAAAUGAUAAGAUUUCCAAUUACACCAAAAUAAAAGCACGCCAUGGAUUUAAUUGCCUUCUGCUCUAUAAAUUGUCUUCGAAAAUCAGGGAUCAGCAUCAGUCUCAUCGGUUCAACAUUAGCUUCCCAAACAAAGAUAGCAAUGGCAUCACAGGUUACCUGCAAACUUCAAAAGGUAGGAUCCUCAGCACACAGGACGCUCUCACAUAUUUGAUCAACCUUAAUUUUUGGAUAUGACACUAAAUGUCUUUCAGGUGUGAACCUUAUGAAUUUUGCUAAGAAAGGUGUGCUUGGAUCAAGGUGAUGCCAAUCGCCUAAAGAGACAACUGCUCCAAUGACUCCAUGAAAUGUGUCUUAUGACUCAUGUCAAAAUUUGUGUGAGAGAUAUUACUGAUGAUAGUAAAUAUAUGCAUUUUAUAAAUUUUUUCAUUUUUUUUGGUAUAGUUUUAUGAAAAUUGAAAAGGGGUUGCUGAUAUUAGAGAACCUAGCUAAUUGAGGGGAUCCUUUUUGUUCAGGUAGUUUUACAGUACAUUGUGAUCAAGACAAAGACUUUUGUUUUGGCCUUUGGGGUUCUAUUUACCAUCAGUAAGUUGCUUCUUCGGUUCCACCACUUUAUUCCAAGUGGGGUUAUUAGUAAAUCCAUCAAAGAAACCAAUUAGAUCCUCAUAUGUGCUCCGCAUUAAGUAAUCAAAACUUAAUUUUCUAUAUUACAAUUCGUUUUUUUGCAGUCUCAUAUGAUACUCUUAGGUUCAUUUCAUUGUGUAUUGGAGUCAACUUAUUACAUGUUAAUAUUUCUUUUCAUGUAGCCCCAUUUUGUUAUAUUCAGAUUAAUGGUUUUAUUUCUGCUUUUUUUCACACUAAGUCAUCGUUGACCAGAUGGUGCAUUCGCAGGGUUCGGUUAAGAAAUUAAGGAAUUUGAUUUGGUUCUAGCUCAAAGUACGAAUUCAGCAAACUGAAGUUUAGCUUCAGGGUGAAAGCAAUCAGAAAUUAAUUGGAGGAUAGUUUCUUACCUCUUGGAGGAUGAGAAAGGCACAAAACCACAACAUUUGCAAGUGCUCAGUACAUUUAUCCAAUUUUUUUUCGAAGGCAAAGAAAGUUUCUGCUUUCUUAAAUUUGGGUAAACUCAUAAAUGAAGUUUGGGUAUUACCCAAGUUUACUUCAACUGUCUAUAUGGAGUCUGAACUGACAGUGAAUAUACUUAAUGCUCUCAACUAGCAAGAUGGAUAUGGUGACAUCUUUCAAUAUCUAAUAUAUCCAAUAUUUUGCAUAGUAAUGCAUAUCCUCAUCAGUUUCGUAGUAAAAAAAAGGUUAUAAUAAUAAGAGGAGCAACUGAGCUAAAAGAACUAUGUGGGACUGUUAAGUCAUUAGAUGUAAACCAGGUGGAGUAUUCUGCAGGCUGAUUGGCAUGCACAUUUUUUUUUUCUCAAAUGGAAAAACACAGGUAGGCAACAUUCCAGUCAAAAUUUGAAAAACAGUUACCAGACUGCAAUAUGUUCGGCAGCUUGAAGCUAUGAUUGGCAAGCUUGAUCUAAGGAUGGAGGAACGCGCCAAGGUGUUCGGAUGAAGACCAUCUCAUCAUAUUAUUCUGCUCAUGCAUUAGGAGAAGGAGAUAUUGAUUAAAGGAAAAUAAUUGCAGAUUUUCUAUCUACGGUUGCUACCGAAAUUAUCAUUGAAAAUGGUUGCCACUUGCCAGUGUGUUUCCUGUUGUGCAUGUAAUAAGGAAGUUCUUGGCAACGAUGGUGAGUUGUGGUCUCCAAUUGCAAAUCAAAAGUAGAAAUUCCAAUAGCAUGGUUAACGCUAUGUACUGCCAUAAGCCAAGAGUAGAUUACAGUGUUCUGUCAGUCCAUUAAUUCCAUUUAGGGGAUUCUGGAUAACUUAAGGGUUGACAUGGGGUGUAAGUACAGUUCUGAAUGGAUUGGUCAUUUCAACUUUAAAUCAGAUUAUUUGCUUUAACCAGUAACAAUAAAUGAAAAAUGUUUAGCAUGUGUCGAGAUCAGUCAAUGGAUAGUA
Long non-coding RNA from Papaver somniferum (opium poppy), 2199 nucleotides. RefSeq lists it as uncharacterized. The transcript is spliced from 4 exons. The record is from RefSeq and is a predicted model, not a curated record. Lineage: Eukaryota; Viridiplantae; Streptophyta; Magnoliopsida; Ranunculales; Papaveraceae.